This 467-nucleotide ribosomal RNA is filed under the name uncultured bacterium. RNAcentral describes it as "partial 16S ribosomal RNA". It matches the Rfam family "Bacterial small subunit ribosomal RNA", at positions 28 to 506 of the family's 1533-position model. The record is from RNAcentral.
GACGAACGCUGGCGGCGUGCUUAACACAUGCAAGUCGAACGGAAAGGCCCUGCUUUUGUGGGGUGCUCGAGUGGCGAACGGGUGAGUAACACGUGAGUAACCUGCCCUUGACUUUGGGAUAACUUCAGGAAACUGGGGCUAAUACCGGAUAGGAGCUCCUGCUGCAUGGUGGGGGUUGGAAAGUUUCGGCGGUUGGGGAUGGACUCGCGGCUUAUCAGCUUGUUGGUGGGGUAGUGGCUUACCAAGGCUUUGACGGGUAGCCGGCCUGAGAGGGUGACCGGCGACGUGGGGACUUGGGUAAGGCCCAAGCCAGUACGGGAGGCCGCGGGGGUGAGGGUUGGCCCGGGGGGGGGAGCCUGAGUCGGCACCCCCGGUGGCGGGAUGAGGGCCUUUGGGUUGGAAACCGGUUUCGCCUGGACCGAAGCGUCAGUGGAGGUAAUGGGUAAAGGAGCACCGGAGAACUACGU